This 77-nucleotide transfer RNA is filed under the name Helicobacter mustelae. RNAcentral describes it as "tRNA-Arg(tct)". It matches the Rfam family "tRNA". Rfam says of the family: Transfer RNA (tRNA) molecules are approximately 80 nucleotides in length. Their secondary structure includes four short double-helical elements and three loops (D, anti-codon, and T loops). Further hydrogen bonds mediate the characteristic L-shaped molecular structure. tRNAs have two regions of fundamental functional importance: the anti-codon, which is responsible for specific mRNA codon recognition, and the 3' end, to which the tRNAs corresponding amino acid is attached (by aminoacyl-tRNA synthetases). tRNAs cope with the degeneracy of the genetic code in two manners: having more than one tRNA (with a specific anti-codon) for a particular amino acid; and 'wobble' base-pairing, i.e. permitting non-standard base-pairing at the 3rd anti-codon position. RNAcentral also lists the same sequence under 1 other name. The record is from RNAcentral. Lineage: Bacteria; Pseudomonadati; Campylobacterota; Epsilonproteobacteria; Campylobacterales; Helicobacteraceae.
GCGCUCGUAGCUCAGCUGGAUAGAGCAACAGCCUUCUAAGCCGUAGGUCGCAGGUUCGACUCCUGCCGGGCGUACCA